GAGUAACACGUGGGUAACCUGCCAAGAGAUCGGGAUAACACCUGGAAACAGAUGCUAAUACCGGAUAACAACAGAUGAUGUCCUAUCAACUGUUUAAAAGAUGGUUCUGCUAUCACUCUUGGGAUGGACCUGCGGUGCAUUAGCUAGUUGGUAGGGGUAACGGGCCUACCAAGGCGAUGAUGCAUAGCCGAGUUGAGAGACUGAUCGGCCACAUUGGGACUGAGACACGGCCCAAACUCCUACGGGAGGCAGCAGUAGGGAAUCUUCCACAAUGGACGCAAGUCUGAUGGAGCAACGCCGCGUGAGUGAAGAAGGGCUUCGGCUCGUAAAGCUCUGUUGUUGGUGAAGAAGGACAGGGGGUAGUAACUGACCUUUGUUUGACGGUAAUCAAUUAGAAAGUCACGGCUAACUACGUGCCAGCAGCCGCGGUAAAU
Molecule: ribosomal RNA, 434 nt
Filed under: uncultured Lactobacillus sp.
Lineage: Bacteria; Bacillati; Bacillota; Bacilli; Lactobacillales; Lactobacillaceae
Description: bacterial SSU rRNA
Rfam family: Bacterial small subunit ribosomal RNA
Source: RNAcentral